Molecule: ribosomal RNA, 115 nt
Filed under: Treponema sp.
Lineage: Bacteria; Pseudomonadati; Spirochaetota; Spirochaetia; Treponematales; Treponemataceae
Source: RNAcentral
CCUGGUGAUAAUGGCGGAGGUGCCAUACCCGUUCCCAUUCCGAACACGGAAGUCAAGCCCUCCCGCGCCGAUGAUACUGCCCCGUAAAGGGCGGGAAAGUAGGUCGUCGCCAGGC